RNAcentral lists this transfer RNA (72 nucleotides) under Camelus bactrianus (Bactrian camel). It matches the Rfam family "tRNA". From Rfam's summary of the family: Transfer RNA (tRNA) molecules are approximately 80 nucleotides in length. Their secondary structure includes four short double-helical elements and three loops (D, anti-codon, and T loops). Further hydrogen bonds mediate the characteristic L-shaped molecular structure. tRNAs have two regions of fundamental functional importance: the anti-codon, which is responsible for specific mRNA codon recognition, and the 3' end, to which the tRNAs corresponding amino acid is attached (by aminoacyl-tRNA synthetases). tRNAs cope with the degeneracy of the genetic code in two manners: having more than one tRNA (with a specific anti-codon) for a particular amino acid; and 'wobble' base-pairing, i.e. permitting non-standard base-pairing at the 3rd anti-codon position. Lineage: Eukaryota; Metazoa; Chordata; Mammalia; Artiodactyla; Camelidae. RNAcentral also lists the same sequence under 1 other name. The record is from Rfam by way of RNAcentral.
GAAGGUAUAGCUCAGUGGUAGAGCAUGUGCACAGUAUGGAUGAGGUCCUGGGCUCAACCCCCAGUACCUUCA